Molecule: microRNA precursor, 112 nt
Filed under: Pteropus vampyrus (large flying fox)
Lineage: Eukaryota; Metazoa; Chordata; Mammalia; Chiroptera; Pteropodidae
Description: miRNA (ENSPVAG00000029045.1)
Rfam family: mir-1302 microRNA precursor family (bases 33-84)
Source: RNAcentral
AGAUUUGAAGUUCAUAUAAACAAUAAAUAGUAUUUUUAGUAUAAAUGUAUCUCGUGCAAUAUUUGAGACAUACUUAUACUAAAAUUUGUUGUUGUUUACUCAGAUUUAGCUG